This 483-nucleotide ribosomal RNA is filed under the name uncultured bacterium. RNAcentral describes it as "bacterial SSU rRNA". It matches the Rfam family "Bacterial small subunit ribosomal RNA", at positions 28 to 487 of the family's 1533-position model. The record is from RNAcentral.
GAUGAACGUUGGCGGCGUGCCUAACACAUGCAAGUCGUACGAGAAAGCCGGCUUCGGCUGGUGAGUAAAGUGGCGCACGGGUGAGUAACGCGUGGAUAAUCUGCCCUUAAGUGUGGAAUAACGUACCGAAAGGUGCGCUAAUACCGCAUAAUGCCUGGCAACACAAGUUGUCCGGCCAAAGAAGGCCUCUGUUUACAAGCUUUCGCUUCAGGAUGAGUCCGCGUACCAUUAGCUUGUUGGUGGGGUAAUGGCCUACCAAGGCUGCGAUGGUUAGCUGGUCUGAGAGGAUGAUCAGCCACACUGGAACUGAGACACGGUCCAGACUCCUACGGGAGGCAGCAGUGAGGAAUAUUGCGCAAUGGGGGCAACCCUGACGCAGCAACGCCGCGUGAGUGAGGAAGGUUUUCGGACUGUAAAGCUCUGUCGAGCGGGAAGAAGUGUACCAUGGCUAAUAUCCAUGAUAUUUGACGGUACCGCUAGAGG